CUUGUAGCUCAGCAUGGUAGAGCAGGUGGCUUUUAACCACUUGGUCCCGGGUUCGAAUCCCGGCGAG
This 67-nucleotide transfer RNA is filed under the name archaeon. RNAcentral's name for it is "tRNA-Lys". It matches the Rfam family "tRNA". Rfam says of the family: Transfer RNA (tRNA) molecules are approximately 80 nucleotides in length. Their secondary structure includes four short double-helical elements and three loops (D, anti-codon, and T loops). The record is from RNAcentral.